CCGAACUGCCCCCAGCGCCCCCCGCCCACGCCCUUUAUAGCCGCGGCCCGCACAGCCCCGCCCCCCUCGUGCCAGCCCAGCCAAUCCCAGCGUCCGGCAGCGUCCGGCCCCGCCAAUCCCCGCCUGCCCGUUCCCGCCCUGCCCGUCCCCAAGAACGCCGCUGUCCCCUCAGGCCCCGCUCCCAGGGGCUGCUCCGCUCCCGCCCGCUGCCCGCCUCCCUCCCCUUCUCCCGGGAGAACUACGGGACGGGACGGGACCGCGGACCUCCCGCCCGCCCUUCCAACAGCGCCUGCGGGUGCCGCGGCAGCGCAGGCGCGGCUCCGCCGGAUCCCGAAGCAAAGGCGCCGAGAGCGGCGCCUGAGGGGAACGCGGGGGGCGAGGUGGAGAGGGGGGGGCUCCGCGCCGCGGCUGAGCGGGCAGAGCUUGCUCGACCGCGGCCCCAUUGAAAGGGCCGCCGCCGCUCCCGCCCCCUCCCCGCCUCCCGGAAGAACUCCCAGACGGGACGUGAGCGCGGAGCUGUGCCACCCGCCCUCCCUGGUCCCAACAGGGCCUGUCGGGGGCUGCGGCAGCGCAGGCGCGGCUCCGGAAGCAAAGGCGCCGGCACCUACAGCGCCUGAGGGGAACGUGGGGAAGGGGGGCGGCGCCGCGACGCGGCUGAGCGGGCACAGCUUACGGGACCGCGGCCCCAUUGAAAGGGCGGGCUACGAUUGGACGGAGCGGAGAAAAGCGGGCUGGGAGUGGCGGGCCGGGAUCGGACCUGCACGUCGGGAGCCAGAACCUCCCGGAGAGAGCGGCCCCUGUGCCCAAGACAGGCCACGUGCCUGGAGCGGCAGCCGCAGUCCCGCCCCAGCUCACCGCGAUCUCGUCCCCGGCUCGCCGCUCCAGGCCGCUUCCACCUCCGCCGCCGCUUCACCUCCGCCGCCGAACUGCCCCUCCGCGCCCCCUCUCCCGCUAUUUAUAGACCGCGGCCCGCAUUAGCCCCCCCCCGUGCCAGCCCCGCCACCCGCCCGUUCCCGAGAACGCCGCUGGCCCCGCAGGCCCCGCUCCCGGAGCCCCUCCCGCCCGCUCCCCGCCUCCCUCCCCUUCUCCUGGGAGAGCUCCCGGACGGGACGUGACCGCGGAGCUCCCACCGCCCUUCCGUGGUCCCAGCAGCGCCUGAGGGGAACGGGGGGACGGUGUCGCGCGGAGGGGCCGCGCCGCGGCUGAGCGGGCAGAGCUUGCGGGACCGCGGCCGGAUUGAAAAGGCGGGCUGUGAUUGGACGGCGCCGAGAAAGGCGGGCCGGGAUUGGCGGGCCAGACGCUGCCUCGGGCCCGGAUUGGCGGGGCUUGGAGCCCGCGGGGCCGCGGCCGCGGGUGGCGGGAGGUGCUCGGGUGGUCGGGCGGAGGGACGAGGG
This 1394-nucleotide long non-coding RNA is filed under the name Manacus vitellinus (golden-collared manakin). Its description in RNAcentral is "lncRNA (ENSMVIG00005002145.1)". Lineage: Eukaryota; Metazoa; Chordata; Aves; Passeriformes; Pipridae. The record is from RNAcentral.